RNAcentral lists this small RNA (717 nucleotides) under Histoplasma capsulatum var. duboisii H88. RNAcentral describes it as "Histoplasma capsulatum H88 hypothetical RNA". The record is from RNAcentral. Lineage: Eukaryota; Fungi; Ascomycota; Eurotiomycetes; Onygenales; Ajellomycetaceae.
UACCUUUUCUUACCUUUUCUUACCUUUUCUUACCUUUUCUUCUCCUCCCUUCAAUAUUAUAUUGUUUACUCUACUUCCACCCUUACUUAUACUCAGUUACAUUGUAUGACUAUAAGCUCACCUUAAGUAUACUUCUUCACGACGCAUACCUUAAGCAUUCGCCCUACCCUGUAAGCCCUACUAGGUAUUCUUAUUGUCUACCUUAGGCCGCCGCCUUAGCUAUUGCUAGUCAUCCUAGAUAUUCCUCUUGACAUUAUAUCUUAACCUGUGAUAGUGGCACUACCUCCUGAUCUAGUGAACAAGCUCAGCAACACUAUAUAAGCCCCGACCUUACCUUAUACCAGUGAGAAGCUUGCUAGGUUAGAGACUCGGUAGCAUAGCGCCUUGGCGUGGGGACCCAAGGCGCGUGGGUUCGAAACCCGCAGGGGACAACAUUACAUCCGGAGCCAACUUCUCAGCUCCUAAAAUAAUGGGAUGUGAACCUGCCAAGUAGGUACCUUCGGGCGGACCUACUACUUGAUUUAGCUGAUUUUUCCUGGGCUGGGAACCUGUAUUGCAUGUACCAAAUCCUGUCUUUCAUUAAUUUUCCUAUGUUCCUGUUAUAUUCUUGGCAUCAUUCAACACUCAGCAUUCCUCCUGUAUAACCAACUCUUGCCUGUAUUUAACAUCACACAAGGACUUGUCAUAAGCACUGCUUGCAUACAAGUAUAACGGAAG